GGUGCACUCGGCGGCUGCUGCGUGUGCAUAUCGAGGUUCCGCGACGGGGAGGACAUACGGAGGCUGCCGUGCGGCCACGCCUUCCACCGGCAAUGCGUCAACAGGUGGUUGGCGCUGUGCCGCCGGACGUGCCCGCUCUGCCGCCUGCACGUCGGCGGCGUGGCAGAUGAGCACCAGCUCAGCGACGACCUCGUCAUCUGGUUCUCUUCUCUCUUCGUCGCCGGCUUGUAG
This 231-nucleotide ribosomal RNA is filed under the name Triticum aestivum (bread wheat). Its description in RNAcentral is "partial small subunit ribosomal RNA". The record is from RNAcentral. Lineage: Eukaryota; Viridiplantae; Streptophyta; Magnoliopsida; Poales; Poaceae.